GGCCGUGUUAGGCUUCGCUGGCGUAAAGUCCCCGGGAGCUUUGCCCCUCACGGAGAACGUUAGUUGACCCUGAUGGGGACCCGUAGGGUAAAGGUUUUGUUUUUGUUUUUUUUACGGAAAAGGUGGCCUGAGUGUGGUUAGGCCCCUUGGAAAGUUGCGACAAAACUCGAGUUAGACAAGGAAGGUCGGAACUAAGUGGCCACAGCAACAAUGCACCAGCAAGCAGGGAGCGUGAUAGGAAGAGCUAAAGAGGAAUCGGGAAACCCUGGGGUCUCACCGCCGUCGCCCAGGCUGGAUGGAGUGCAGUGGCGCGAUCACGGCUCACUGCAGCCUCGACUUCCCAGGCUUAGAGAUGGGUUUCACCAUGUUUCCCAGCCUUGUCUCAAACUCCUGACCUCAAGUGAUCCGCCGUCUUGGGUCUUCGAAAGUGCUGGGACAGCAGGAGUGAGCCACCGCAUCUGGCCCGGAAAGUGUUUUGGAGCGUAGAAAAAUGCAAAUUAUAGGGCUGCCUUCAAGGAUCCCGAAGGACCCACAGAUUUGCCGCAUCAGGCUCCUAUGCACGCCGGUAAUUUGAUGUGUUAAGAUGCACUGCCCAGUGCGUUGUUUUUACUGGAGGAGCUUGUGUGCGGAGCUCCUUGCUAGUGUAUGUGUAUGUGUUGGGAUGGGAGAGAAGUGCGGGAGAACUAUGAGAUAAUGCCCCCUGAUCCUCAGGGUCUUAGGAGGUAUGGUCGGAGAGGCUGAGCUAAAGUAUGAAAGCCGUGUGUAGGCCCUUCUGUGUAGUGCAGAAAAGGGAGAGGUAUGUGAUUUGAAAGAGUAGGGAUGACAUGGAGGAUGCGACUCCUGGUUGGAUCUAUAAACUAAUGUCUUUGGAACGAAAGCACAUGCAACCUUUUGAAAAUGGAUGGGUGAUAAUGAAAGACCAUUCCAGAGAAGAAACACCAUGGUGCAAAGGCUCAAGAGGCAUACUGGAAGUACAAUGAAGAGAGCAAUCUAACUGAAAUGGGAAAAAAAGAAACAGAGUAAAAAGUAAGAUUUGAUGAGAAAGAUGGAAUCGAUUUUUAAAUUUUUUUAUCUACACAACAAAAUUUAUUAUCUUAACCAUUUUUGAGUGAAUAAUUCGUUAGUAUUAAGUAUAUUUACCUUGUGCAGCCAGUCUCCAGAAUUCUUUUCAUCUUGCAAAACAAACCCCGAACCCAUUAAACAAUUUCUCAUUCGCCAUUUUCCAGCUAGCCUUGGUAACCUCCAUUCUAGUUCUGUCUCUAUGAAUUUGACUAUGUACCCCGUGUAAGUGGUAUCAUACAGUAUUUGUCUUUUUGUGACUGGCAUAUUUCACAUAGCAUAAUCUCCUUGUGGUUUAUCCAUCUUGUAGCAUGUGUCAGAAUUUCCUUCCCUUUUAAGACUAAAUAAUAUUCCAUUGUAUGU
Molecule: non-coding RNA, 1422 nt
Filed under: Pan troglodytes (chimpanzee)
Lineage: Eukaryota; Metazoa; Chordata; Mammalia; Primates; Hominidae
Source: RNAcentral